This is a long non-coding RNA of Saccostrea cuccullata (small rock oyster), 1558 nucleotides long. RefSeq lists it as uncharacterized. The record is from RefSeq and is a predicted model, not a curated record. The transcript has 3 exons. Lineage: Eukaryota; Metazoa; Mollusca; Bivalvia; Ostreida; Ostreidae.
CGGGAUCGAUGUACGAUUUCGUAACCACGUGUAAACAUUAUGGCAUCCUGCGACGUUUUGUACGUCCUCAGGAAAAGAUUCAGGUGCGUGAAUUGUCAACGAGUCUUCAGUUUCCGGCUCUGAUUUUGAUGAAUAUGAUUCUGACAGCAAACAUUCAUUUGGUAGCGAAACGGAUGUAGUGAUGAUGAUACCGAAUCAACAACGUUUGAAUUUGAAAAAGAAACAGAUAUUUAUGAGAUGUUAUGGAGAUGGCUACAAUUAUGAUUUUCGGCUUUAUGGAAUAGUAGAAUUUUCUUUAUGAGAGAUGACAAUUAUUAGGAAAAAGAGUUGUCAAAUACUUGUGCAGACUGCAGACUUUUCAAAUUAAAGGUCACCAUGUGUUCCUUGACAGAUUAUUCAAAUUCAUUUCCCUGGAUAGGGCUGGGCUUUACAAUGAGAGUUUCAGCUGUGGAGCUAUAAAAAAUUACUACAUAGUGUUUCCAAUGUAGUUUUGUGAACAGAAUCCAGAAAUAAGAAGAGGAGAGACAAUGCAGAUGCAGCAUUAGCAUUACCAAUUACUUGCCACUGCUGAGAAAAUGGUAAGAUAUGUUAUACUAUAGUACAUGUAUAGGAAUUGCCUUGUCUGUCUGUCGAUUUGCCACAUGCAUUUUUCCCUAUUCUGUUACUUUACUUCAAGGAUAUAUGAAGCUCUUGUUUUCUUCAAAGAUAGCCAGAAGAAUUUGUGAAGAAUCUUACCCGAGUCAUUUGAUGACAUUUUCUUAAAUUGGAAAAUAUAAAUGUAGCAUUAUCAUAAACAUGACAUUUAUUUUAAAAAUCUUAGAAUAUGUCUAGUAUGGUUUGUUUCAAUUUAAUUUGAAAACUGUCCUUUUUCACAGGUACAUGCUUUGAGUACUACUUUUGUGUACUUGGAGACAGUCCAGUUGUUCUUUAAACCAGGAGUGGAAAUUUCAAUGCUUGUUAAAUUUUCUCCAGAAGUUAUUGGAUGUCACAUAAGAAGAAAAUGGGGUCAUACUGAACAGAAUAGUUUAGAUACACCUGAUAGAUUUUGAAAGGUUGAGACCUCAAGAUCAAUCCAAUGGUGUACCAAACAUGAAGAAAAAAAGACAGUUUAUAACUGAAGAAGCUUGCGUAGUAGCCAAAAUUUCAGGGUAUUUCAUAUAUGUUAACUUGUACGAUUUUAUUGGUACAUGUACUUAAACAUUGUUAACAUCUUGAUAUUUAAUAUGUAUCAGGUUUCACUUGCAGGAAUAAACAAAAAAUCAGAGUAAAUUUUAAGAGUUUGUUAUGUUAGAUAAGAUCAAAGACCAUGGUCAACAGUGCUUUAGUUUUACCAAAUAUAACAUUAUUAGAAAGACCAAUUUCCUGUAUACAGGUAUAGCAAAUAAUUCAGAAUAUGAUUUGGGAAACUGUGAUUUUUUUCUUUUAAAUCUUAUCUUAAUUUAGAACCAUGAUGUAUACUUAAGCAAGUAGAUUUUUUCAAGCAUACAAAAUUUCAAGGUCAUUUUAAUUUUGGAAAUGAAUAUAGAAUAUCAGGAAGAAGUCAAGCAUUGUAAUUUUU